UACGGAGGGUGCGCGCGUUAUCAGGAAUCACUGGGUUUAAAGGGUGCGUAGGAGGCUCGGUAAGUCAGUUGUGAAUGCCACUUGCUUAACGAGGGAGGUGCGAUUGAUACUGUCGAGCUUGAAUCGGGAUGAGGCAGGCGGAAUGCGGCAUGUAGCGGUGAAAUGCAUAGAUAUGCCAUAGAACACCGAUUGCGAAGGCAGCCUGCUGGGCCUGUAUUGACGCUGAGGCACGAAAGCGUGGGGAGCAAACAGG
Molecule: ribosomal RNA, 253 nt
Filed under: uncultured bacterium
Lineage: Bacteria
Description: partial 16S ribosomal RNA
Rfam family: Bacterial small subunit ribosomal RNA
Source: RNAcentral